Molecule: ribosomal RNA, 414 nt
Filed under: Bacillus pumilus
Lineage: Bacteria; Bacillati; Bacillota; Bacilli; Caryophanales; Bacillaceae
Description: bacterial SSU rRNA
Rfam family: Bacterial small subunit ribosomal RNA
Source: RNAcentral
CAGCAGCCGCGGUAAUACGUAGCGUGGCAAGCGUUGUCCGGAAUUAUUGGGCGUAAAGGGCUCGCAGGCGGUUUCUUAAGUCUGAUGUGAAAGCCCCCGGCUCAAACCGGGGAGGGUCAUUGGAAACUGGGAAACUUGAGUGCAGAAGAGGAGAGUUGGAAUUCCACGUGUAGCGGUGAAAUGCGUAGAGAUGUGGAGGAACACCAGUGGCGAAGGCGACUCUCUGGUCUGUAACUGACGCUGAGGAGCGAAACGCGUGGGGAGCGAACAGGAUUAGAUACCCUGGUAGUCCACGCCGUAAACGGAUGAGUGCUAAGUGUUAGGGGUUUCCGCCCCUUAGUGCUGCAGCUAACGCAUUAAGCACUCCGCCUGGGGAGUACGGUCGCAAGACUGAAACUCAAAGGAAUUGACGGG